Molecule: small nucleolar RNA, 90 nt
Filed under: Carlito syrichta (Philippine tarsier)
Lineage: Eukaryota; Metazoa; Chordata; Mammalia; Primates; Tarsiidae
Source: RNAcentral
GGGACUCUGUGAUGUCCAGCACUGGGCUCUUACCACCCCUGAGGACAUGGUGCUCCCCGGGCCUUUGACACCCAGGGUUCUGAGGGGCCC